RNAcentral lists this ribosomal RNA (482 nucleotides) under uncultured bacterium. RNAcentral describes it as "partial 16S ribosomal RNA". It matches the Rfam family "Bacterial small subunit ribosomal RNA", at positions 30 to 507 of the family's 1533-position model. The record is from RNAcentral.
AUUGAACGCUGGCGGCAUGCCUUACACAUGCAAGUCGAACGGUAACGGGCCUUCGGGUGCCGACGAGUGGCGAACGGGUGAGUAAUACAUCGGAACGUGCCCGAUCGUGGGGGAUAACGAGGCGAAAGCUUUGCUAAUACCGCAUACGAUCUACGGAUGAAAGCAGGGGACCGCAAGGCCUUGCGCGGACGGAGCGGCCGAUGGCAGAUUAGGUAGUUGGUGGGAUAAAAGCUUACCAAGCCGACGAUCUGUAGCUGGUCUGAGAGGAUGAUCAGCCACACUGGGACUGAGACACGGCCCAGACUCCUGCGGGAGGCAGCAGUGGGGAAUUUUGGACAAUGGGCGCAAGCCUGAUCCAGCCAUGCCGCGUGCAGGAUGAAGGCCUUCGGGUUGCAAACUGCUUUUGUACGGAACGAAAAGCCUUCUUUUAAUACAGGAGGGUCAUGACGGUACCGUAAGAAUAAGCACCGGCUAACUACGUG